GGACAGGGAUGAAGGACUCUGUAAGAGCAGAGCUUGGUCGGUGCCUGUGGCAGAACACAGACCCUGCAAACAGCCGCCCUCCUGCUCUGCCUCCGAGCGAGAUUCCUUCAUCUGGCUGUGGCAGAGGCUCUCCCUACCUGUCUCCUCUCUCCCUGCGCCUGUGUGCCUUGAAUAUUGAUGGGGACCAUCUCUCCCUGCUGCAGGAUGCCUCGAGCCAGCUGACACCAGGAGGAUUUGCAAACGCAUCGAGCGAGGCUGGAGGCACACGAGUAUCUCCUGCCCCGAGCUGGGAAGAUUUGUCUUCUGGGGCCCGGUGGAGAGGGCCCGGGCUGUGGAGAUGCUGCCCUGCAUGAAGAGCGGAGGCGGCUGCGGCGCUGGCAUUCCUCCCGCUGGGAAGCGAAAAGCCUUGAGAAGAUUGGAUCAUGCAUUAUUUUUACCCUUGCAAAUAGUUCCCAGGCGCAGGGAGCUCAAGCUGUGAAAAAUGCGCAACGCAAGCCCUCGGCGUGCACCGGCUCUCGAAAUGCCCACGUAGGAGCUGAGACCGGACCAUUCGUCUCACGGAUAAAACCUCGGCGGGGCCCCGGCUGGGACCGUUUCACCUCGAGGGGUCUCGGCAGAAACAUGACCCCGCUCUUCCCAAACCUCACCCUCUCCGCAUUGCUGGAGCGGGAAGGUGCA
Molecule: long non-coding RNA, 678 nt
Organism: Chroicocephalus ridibundus (black-headed gull)
Lineage: Eukaryota; Metazoa; Chordata; Aves; Charadriiformes; Laridae
Exons: 3
Source: RefSeq, a predicted model, not a curated record